CAAUAGCGUAUAUUUAAGUUGUUGCAGUUAAAAAGCUCGUAGUUGGAUUUCGGGUGGGACGCAGCGGUCUCGCAUUGCGUUUGUACUGCUGCAGCCCUCCUUCUUGGCGGGGGCGGCCUCUCGGACUUCACUGUCUGGGGGUCAGAAUCGGCGAUGUUACUUUGAGUAAAUUAGAGUGUUCAAAGCAAGCUUACGCUCUGAAUAUAAUAGCAUGGGAUAACACGACAGGACUCUGGCCUAUCGUGUUGGUCUAUAGGACCAGAGUAAUGAUUAAGAGGGACAGUCGGGGGCAUUCGUAUUCCGUUGUCAGAGGUGAAAUUCUUGGAUUUACGGAAGACGAACAUCUGCGAAAGCAUUUGCCAAGGAUGUUUUCAUUG
This 377-nucleotide ribosomal RNA is filed under the name uncultured eukaryote. RNAcentral describes it as "partial 18S ribosomal RNA". It matches the Rfam family "Eukaryotic small subunit ribosomal RNA", at positions 592 to 975 of the family's 1831-position model. The record is from RNAcentral.